RNAcentral lists this ribosomal RNA (869 nucleotides) under Hymenochaete nanospora. RNAcentral describes it as "eukaryotic LSU rRNA". It matches the Rfam family "Eukaryotic large subunit ribosomal RNA", at positions 66 to 915 of the family's 3401-position model. Lineage: Eukaryota; Fungi; Basidiomycota; Agaricomycetes; Hymenochaetales; Hymenochaetaceae. The record is from RNAcentral.
UAACAAGGAUUCCCCUAGUAACUGCGAGUGAACCGGGAAGAGCUCAAAUUUAAAAUCUGGCGGUUUUGCCGUCCGAGUUGUAAUCUGGAGAAGCGUUUUCCGCGUCGGACCGUGUACAAGUCUCUUGGAAUAGAGCGUCAUAGAGGGUGAGAAUCCCGUCCAUGACACGGACUCCCGAUGCUAUGUGAUACGCUCUCAAAGAGUCGAGUUGUUUGGGAAUGCAGCUCAAAAUGGGUGGUAAAUUCCAUCUAAAGCUAAAUAUUGGCGAGAGACCGAUAGCGAACAAGUACCGUGAGGGAAAGAUGAAAAGCACUUUGGAAAGAGAGUUAAACAGUACGUGAAAUUGUUGAAAGGGAAACGCUUGAAGUCAGUCGCGUCGUACGGAGCUCAGCCUUGCUUCUGCUUGGUGUAUUCUCCGUGUCGACGGGUCAACGUCAAUUUUGAUCGGUGGAGAAGGGCCUGAGGAACGUGGCGUCGUUUCGGCGACGUGUUAUAGCCUUAGGUCGUAUGCAUCGAUUGGGAUUGAGGACCGCAGCACGCCCUUGUGGCCGGGGGUUCGCCCUACGUUCGUGCUUAGGAUGUUGGCAAAAUGGCUUUAAGCGACCCGUCUUGAAACACGGACCAAGGAGUCUAACAUGCCUGCGAGUGUUCGGGUGGAAAACCCUUGCGCGUAAUGAAAGUGAAAGUUGGGAUCCCUCGCAAGGGGGUGCACCGACGCCCGGCCCUGACGUUCUCUGACGGUGCUGCGGUAGAGCAUGUAUGUUGGGACCCGAAAGAUGGUGAACUAUGCCUGAAUAGGGUGAAGCCAGAGGAAACUCUGGUGGAGGCUCGUAGCGAUUCUGACGUGCAAAUCGAUCGUCAAAUUUGGG